UGGCCGUUUACUGCUUGGGGCACUCUUAGCUGCAGUAGGCUUGGUAGGAAGAGAAGUAGAUGGACGAACAGACUGUUUGGCACGAGCAGAAGAGGAAGGACUCCUAAUAGACAUAAGGGUGACCAAAACAGGAGAAGUGGAAGAAAUGUCUGGCUGAUCCAGUGAAUGGAAAGCGCGAUUGGCAUCAGUUGCAAACAAUCUGCGAUGUACUGAUGGCCAGAGUUGUUCAAAAAGGGGAUGGAUGAC
RNAcentral lists this long non-coding RNA (246 nucleotides) under Olea europaea (common olive). RNAcentral describes it as "long non-coding RNA (OEUR_LNC006669)". Lineage: Eukaryota; Viridiplantae; Streptophyta; Magnoliopsida; Lamiales; Oleaceae. The record is from RNAcentral.